This 255-nucleotide ribosomal RNA is filed under the name uncultured bacterium. Its description in RNAcentral is "partial 16S ribosomal RNA". It matches the Rfam family "Bacterial small subunit ribosomal RNA", at positions 57 to 305 of the family's 1533-position model. The record is from RNAcentral.
GCAAGUCGAGGGGUAACGAUGGAAACUUCGGUUUUAAGGCGACGACCGGCGCACGGGUGAGUAACGCGUAUGCAACCUACCUAAAACAGGGGGAUAGCUCAGCGAAACAUUGAUUAAUACCCCAUAAUAUCUAAAGUAAGCAUUUACUUAAGAUUAAAACUCCGGUGGUUUUAGAAGGGCAUGCGUGACAUUAGGUAGUUGGUGAGGUAACUGCUCACCAAGGCAACGAUGUCUAGGGGGUCUGAGAGGAUGAUC